Molecule: ribosomal RNA, 502 nt
Filed under: uncultured bacterium
Lineage: Bacteria
Description: bacterial SSU rRNA
Rfam family: Bacterial small subunit ribosomal RNA
Source: RNAcentral
AUUGAACGCUGGCGGCGUGCUUAACACAUGCAAGUCGAACGGUAACGCGGGGGCAACCCUGGCGACGAGUGGCGGACGGGUGAGGAAUGCUUGGGAAUCUGCCUGUUAGUGGGGGACAACCCGGGGGAAACUCGGGCUAAUACCGCAUACGCUCUACGGAGGAAAGCGGGGGACCGAAAGGCCUCGCGCUAACAGAUGAGCCCAAGUCGGAUUAGCUAGUUGGUGGGGUAAAGGCCUACCAAGGCUACGAUCCGUAGCUGGUCUGAGAGGACGAUCAGCCACACUGGGACUGAGACACGGCCCAGACUCCUACGGGAGGCAGCAGUGGGGAAUAUUGGACAAUGGGGGAAACCCUGAUCCAGCAAUGCCGCGUGUGUGAAGAAGGCCUGCGGGUUGUAAAGCACUUUUGGCAGGGAAGAAAAGCACUGGCCGAAUACGCCAGUGUGUUGACGUAACCUGCAGAAGAAGCACCGGCUAACUCUGUGCCAGCAGCCGCGGUAAU